This 301-nucleotide ribosomal RNA is filed under the name uncultured bacterium. Its description in RNAcentral is "partial 16S ribosomal RNA". It matches the Rfam family "Bacterial small subunit ribosomal RNA", at positions 509 to 807 of the family's 1533-position model. The record is from RNAcentral.
CAGUAGCCGCGGGAAUACGAGGGGGGCAAGCGUUGUCCGGAAUUAUUGGGCGUAAAGGGCUCGCAGGCGGUUUCUUAAGUCUGAUGUGAAAGCCCCCGGCUCAACCGGGGAGGGUCAUUGGAAACUGGGAAACUUGAGCGCAGAAGAGGAGAGUGGAAUUCCACGUGUAGCGGUGAAAUGCGUAGAGAUGUGGAGGAACACCAGUGGCGAAGGCGACUCUCUGGUCUGUAACUGACGCUGAGGAGCGAAAGCGUGGGGAGCGAACAGGAUUAGAUACCCCUGUAGUCCCUGUCUCUUAUAC